CCUACGGGUGCAGCAGUGGGGGAUAUUGCACAAUGGGGGAAACCCUGAUGCAGCGACGCCGCGUGAGUGAAGAAGUAUUUCGGUAUGUAAAGCUCUAUCAGCAGGGAAGAAAAUGACAGUACCUGACCAAGAAGCCCCGGCUAACUACGUGCCAGCAGCCGCGGUAAUACGGAGGGGGCAAGCGUUAUCCGGAUUUACUGGGUGUAAAGGGAGCGUAGGCGGUUAUGUAAGUCUGGUGUGAAAGCCCGGGGCCCAACCCCGGGACUGCUUUGGAAACUGUGUAACUGGAGUACAGGAGCGGCAGGCGGAAUUACUGGUGUAGCGGUGAAAUGCGUAGAUAUCAGGAGGAACACCGGCGGCGAAGGCGGCCUGCUGAACUGAAACUGACGUUGAGGCUCGAAAGCGUGGGGAGCAAACAGGAUUAGAUACCCUUGUAGUC
RNAcentral lists this ribosomal RNA (439 nucleotides) under uncultured bacterium. RNAcentral describes it as "partial 16S ribosomal RNA". It matches the Rfam family "Bacterial small subunit ribosomal RNA", at positions 338 to 795 of the family's 1533-position model. The record is from RNAcentral.